This 302-nucleotide long non-coding RNA is filed under the name Nicotiana benthamiana. RNAcentral's name for it is "long non-coding RNA (NBEN_LNC027040)". The record is from RNAcentral. Lineage: Eukaryota; Viridiplantae; Streptophyta; Magnoliopsida; Solanales; Solanaceae.
CAAGUUUUCCACAAUUUUGACAUGAAGGACUUGGUUCUUCCUUCUUUAUUUCCUUCUUCAUAAACUUAUAAAACUUUUCAAUUAUAUCAUUGGAGUAAUAGCAUCAUCGUUUUCCGAGUCACUUACCUCUUCUCUUUUAUAGGAUGAGGCUUUGAAGCCAAUAUUCGAAUUACUUCUAAGAUACGGAUUAAGAAUUGUGCUUUCAUAAGCUUUAAGAUUACCUCGUAGUCCAUCAAUUGUGACGUCCGUGAUUCCUAUCGACUCUUGGAUAGCAUUUGCUUUGGACACCAUUUGGGAGUGAG